UACGGAGGAUGCAAGCGUUAUCCGGAAUGAUUGGGCGUAAAGCGUCCGCAGGUGGCUAUGUAAGUCUGCUGUUAAAGGGUGAGGCUCAACCUCAUAAAAGCAGUGGAAACUACAUGGCUAGAGUGCGUUCGGGGCAGAGGGAAUUCCUGGUGUAGCGGUGAAAUGCGUAGAGAUCAGGAAGAACACCGGUGGCGAAAGCGCUCUGCUAGGCCGCAACUGACACUGAGGGACGAAAGCUAGGGGAGCGAAUGGG
Molecule: ribosomal RNA, 253 nt
Filed under: uncultured bacterium
Lineage: Bacteria
Description: partial 16S ribosomal RNA
Rfam family: Bacterial small subunit ribosomal RNA
Source: RNAcentral